RNAcentral lists this ribosomal RNA (249 nucleotides) under uncultured bacterium. RNAcentral describes it as "partial 16S ribosomal RNA". It matches the Rfam family "Bacterial small subunit ribosomal RNA", at positions 796 to 1041 of the family's 1533-position model. The record is from RNAcentral.
CACGCCGUAAACGAUGGGUGCUAGGUGUCGCAGGCUUUGACCCCUGCGGUGCCGUAGCUAACGCAUUAAGCACCCCGCCUGGGGAGUACGGCCGCAAGGCUAAAACUCAAAGGAAUUGACGGGGGCCCGCACAAGCGGUGGAGCAUGUGGUUCAAUUCGACGCAACGCGCAGAACCUUACCUGGGCUAGAAAGUGCAGAAACUUGGUUGAAAAAUCGAGGUGCUCUUCGGAGAAUCUGCAGUUAGGUGC